AUACAACAUAUCAGCAUUUCUCACCUGGGAGGAAAGGAGAUAGAGCUGAGGAGGGAAGAGAGAAGAGGACAAGAAAAGGUGUAAAUGCACUGCUUAUUUGGUUGAUUUGUUUUAUUGUUAGAAACAUUAUUCUGCUCUUCCAGGUUCUAGGAAUCCAUUCCUUCUUUUAAGCUAAAGAAAGAAGUAGGCAACUUCCAUCAAAGACUGGAGAAGAGGGGAUGCUUCAGCAGUUUGCUGUAACAGCCAGAAGCUCUGGACUGAGCUGACGGAAGGAAGAAAGAAAGAAAAAACCUGCAGGAGAGCACCUCAGACUAUGAAUCUGAACCUCAAAAAUGUGGAUGACUUUCAUGGGAUGCCUUUCUGGACUUGAGCGAGCACAGGGUCUCCAGAAUGGGGAGGAGGUUUAUCAACAGGUGAUGAGGAAAUCUGUGAGUCAUCACUACACUAGACAGAGAAAUGCUGCCAGAAGCAGUGGUCCUCUUAGCUGCUGGCACUGUCAAUCCGACUUUUUUUGGCCCUGUGUCUGUGCCCUGUAUUAAUGUAAUUAACCCCUGGUGUCCUCACAGCUUUUCACAAGUCCUGUUCCUCACUGAACUCCCAUAGGGGUUCUUCUUCCAUUUAUGUUACCUGGAUGAGGCUGGAAACCUAAACUGCUGCUGUGGAUGACAGAAAACUAAUGCUGAUGAUCUUUGUUUACUGAUCAAGUAGUUGAGUUUAUUCCUUCUGUUGGAAGCCCACAGUUAAUUUGGGAUCUGUUAAUUGUCUAUUCUUAAUGACUUAUAUUUUGUCUUCAAUACACCUUGAAAUUGUUAUAUCACCCUCGUUUCUUGUAAGCUGUAUGACUCUGUUUUCACUGAGGUUAUCUGGAGUUUUCUUAAUCAGAAACUCUGAGGAAAUGGUAUUUCCACACCAUCUUCUGAAGCUCUGGGUGUCAAGGCCAGGGAAGCUCUUCUGGCUGUGCUGAGCUCUGAUUGCCUGAUUUUGCUGAACCUGUACAGCCCUGCCAAUCAGAAAAUGAGGAGAUGUGCAGGAGCAUAGCCAGUCUCCUGACUUAAUCCCACCCUGUCCUUAUGCCUGAAAUAUCAGGGACACUGAACAGCAGGGU
This is a long non-coding RNA of Passer domesticus (house sparrow), 1105 nucleotides long. RefSeq lists it as uncharacterized. The transcript is spliced from 3 exons. NCBI's taxonomy places the organism in Eukaryota, Metazoa, Chordata, Aves, Passeriformes, Passeridae. The record is from RefSeq and is a predicted model, not a curated record.